GAGAAAGAGAACAAGAGCGAACGGAGGAUGCCUAGGCUUCCGUAGGCGAUGAAGGACGUGGUAAGCUGCGAAAAGCUCCGGGGAUCUGCAAACAGGAACUGAUCCGGAGAUGUCCGAAUGGGGAAACCCGGCAGGCUGAAGGCCUGUCACCAACGGUUGUUGGAGCGAACGCGGGGAACUGAAACAUCUUAGUACCCGCAGGAAGAGAAAGAAAUAUCGAUUCCCAAAGUAGUGGCGAUCGAAAUGGGAAGAGCCUAAACCGGUCACGUUGAGGCGCGGCCGGGGUUGUAGGACCAGUCAUAAAGUGACAUACAAGGAACUGGAACCGUCUGGAAAGUCGGUCCGCAGAGGGUGAAAGGCCCGUACAGGCAAUGUGUAUGUUUCGAGACUGGCACCUGAGUAGGGCGGGACACGUGGAAUCCUGUCUGAAUCUGCGGCGACCAUGCCGCAAGGCUAAAUAUAACCGGA
This 468-nucleotide ribosomal RNA is filed under the name Bacteroidales bacterium. RNAcentral describes it as "partial 23S ribosomal RNA". It matches the Rfam family "Bacterial large subunit ribosomal RNA", at positions 1 to 480 of the family's 2925-position model. Lineage: Bacteria; Pseudomonadati; Bacteroidota; Bacteroidia; Bacteroidales. The record is from RNAcentral.